This 413-nucleotide ribosomal RNA is filed under the name uncultured prokaryote. RNAcentral describes it as "bacterial SSU rRNA". It matches the Rfam family "Bacterial small subunit ribosomal RNA", at positions 355 to 785 of the family's 1533-position model. The record is from RNAcentral.
UGGGGAAUAUUGGACAAUGGGCGCAAGCCUGAUCCAGCCAUGCCGCGUGAGUGAAGAAGGCCCUAGGAUCGUAAAGCUCUUUCGCCGGGGAAGAUAAUGACGGUACCCGGUAAAGAAGUCCCGGCUAACUCCGUGCCAGCAGCCGCGGUAAUACGGAGGGGACUAGCGUUGUUCGGAAUUACUGGGCGUAAAGCGCGCGUAGGCGGAGAUUUAAGUCAGGGGUGAAAUCCCGGGGCUCAACCCCGGAACUGCCCUUGAUACUGGAUGUCUGGAGUUCGAGAGAGGUGAGUGGAAUUCCGAGUGUAGAGGUGAAAUUCGUAGAUAUUCGGAGGAACACCAGUGGCGAAGGCGGCUCACUGGCUCGAUACUGACGCUGAGACGCGAAAGCGUGGGGAGCAAACAGGAUUAGAUAC